Molecule: non-coding RNA, 71 nt
Organism: Phrynosoma platyrhinos (Desert horned lizard)
Lineage: Eukaryota; Metazoa; Chordata; Lepidosauria; Squamata; Phrynosomatidae
Source: the annotation of a GenBank genome assembly
GCCAGUGUGGUGUAGUGGUUUGAGCAUUGGACUACAACUCUGGAUGCCAGGCUUCAAAUCCAUGCUUGGCC